RNAcentral lists this ribosomal RNA (429 nucleotides) under uncultured eukaryote. RNAcentral's name for it is "SSU rRNA". It matches the Rfam family "Eukaryotic small subunit ribosomal RNA", at positions 567 to 990 of the family's 1831-position model. The record is from RNAcentral.
CCAGCAGCCGCGGUAAUUCCAGCUCCAAUAGCGUAUAUUAAAGUUGUUGCAGUUAAAAAGCUCGUAGUCUGAGUCUUGGUUGGUGUUGAGCGUCCGUGGCUUUUGUCACGUGCAUGCGAUACGCUGGCCAUGUACUUCGGAGGAACAUGGGUGCUUUUCAUUAAGUGCUCAUGGGAUUCCGAUAGUUUACUUUGAGAAAAAUAGAGUGUUCAAAGCAGGCGAUUUUGCCCUUGAAUACGUUAGCAUGGGAUAAUGAAAUAGGACAUUGGUUCUCUAUUUCUGAUGGUUUGAAGGACCGAUGUAAUGAUUAAUAGGGACAGUUGGGGACAUUCAUAUUCCAUGGCUAGAGGUGAAAUUCUUGGAUUCAUGGAAGAUGAACUACUGCGAAAGCAUUUGUCAAAGAUGUUUUCAUUGAUCAAGAACGAAAGU